GAACCCACAACAAGAGCUCAAUCGACAUUUACAACAGAUAUGUCCCCUACAAGUAUGUCCACAUUAGAAUCAGGUACAAGUGAAAGUGGACCAACGGUGCAAAUUACUCUGUCCACAACAGUUACCUCUCCAUCUUCACCGUCUACUUCAACAGAAGAACAAAGUACAUCAGAAUUAACUUCAUCAGCAACCGAAAUAUCUUCAUCCACUGUAGAGCAAACAACAAGCCAGCAGGCUCAAACAACUGUGUUUAGUUUUACCACAGAAACAGAACCUAUAAUGACAGCUCAAUCAACAUUUACAACAGCUAUGUCCCCUAUGACCACGACCACUAUUGAAUCAUCUAC
Molecule: long non-coding RNA, 347 nt
Organism: Cyprinus carpio carpio
Lineage: Eukaryota; Metazoa; Chordata; Actinopteri; Cypriniformes; Cyprinidae
Source: Ensembl